CAGAGAGCCCGUGAGCGUCCUGCACAAGCCACAGACAGCUGGGCCUCGUGGAGAACAGCAAUGGAAGUCAUCGCGUGCACAGAGGGCCCCGGGGCCUGGCACUGAGGUCUUCACAGAGGGCUUUUUUAAACUGAGUUGAAGAACCUGAGACUCAGAACAUUUAGGUGACUUGCCCUGAGUCACACAGAACAUGGCAGGGAAAGGAUUUGAACCCAGCAGAAAGAAAAACAGCUCCCAUGCCAUCACCCGUGGCCAUCAGACUGAGCGAGGUCAAAAGUGCUCACCCCACAGCAUCCUGCACCUCACCAGGCCAUCGCAGCUGUUCUUGCUGGCGUUGACAUCAUUCCGUCUCCCGUCUGUGCCACCUCUUCACUUUGGCUCCCCAGGCCGUAGGUCCCUGCAGGUCGGGUAGCACCUCUGGCAGCUGCUGCUUCAGGACGUUCCGGAGUCCUGUGCUCUGGACCUGGAAUCAGUCGUUCUAAUAAUCCAUGAUCCCACAUUGAACUUACUGCUCGUCUCUCCUUAGUGUCCUGUAAUCCGUAACAUUCUUCAA
Molecule: long non-coding RNA, 553 nt
Organism: Manis pentadactyla (Chinese pangolin)
Lineage: Eukaryota; Metazoa; Chordata; Mammalia; Pholidota; Manidae
Exons: 5
Source: RefSeq, a predicted model, not a curated record